UUACGACCACAUCACAUUGAAACAACGGAUCCCGUACGAUCACUGAAGUGAAGCAACAUCGAACUUGAUCAGUACCUAGAUGGAUAAGCGCUUUUGAAUACCAGGUGCAGUAAG
Non-coding RNA from Acanthosepion pharaonis, 114 nucleotides. NCBI's taxonomy places the organism in Eukaryota, Metazoa, Mollusca, Cephalopoda, Sepiida, Sepiidae. The record is from the annotation of a GenBank genome assembly.